This 354-nucleotide long non-coding RNA is filed under the name Phasianus colchicus (ring-necked pheasant). Its description in RNAcentral is "lncRNA (ENSPCLG00000005788.1)". The record is from RNAcentral. Lineage: Eukaryota; Metazoa; Chordata; Aves; Galliformes; Phasianidae.
AUGGAAGAGCAUAAACUCAGGUCAUCAGGGAGAUGUUUGUCCAGGGCUUUUGCUGCAUCACCUGGGCCCAUGCAUUGCCUGCAAAAGAGUUCUUUGAGGAUGAACAUUCAAAGACUUCACUGGUCCACGUCCAAAUAUUCAUCUGACAUAAGUGCUGGCAUCAAAAAUGCUAUACCAAGAAACAGUCUGAAGAUACUACACUUCAGUAGGACGUAUAUACAGAAGAGACCUUUGUCAAUUUUCCUCUUCUUCUGCAGUUUUUUGGUUAGAUUCAUGGCCAUGGUUUCAUGGCGAGGAGUUCCCCUGCGAGGUGUGCUGAGCUCUGUGCUCCAUACAAGUGGUGACUGCUCCUAA